RNAcentral lists this ribosomal RNA (344 nucleotides) under uncultured bacterium. Its description in RNAcentral is "bacterial SSU rRNA". It matches the Rfam family "Bacterial small subunit ribosomal RNA", at positions 8 to 350 of the family's 1533-position model. The record is from RNAcentral.
AGAGUUUGAUCAUGGCUCAGGAUGAACGCUGGCGGCGCGCCUAACACAUGCAAGUCGAACGGACGAUGAAAAGCUUGCUUUUCAAAGUUAGUGGCGGACGGGUGAGUAACGCGUGGGUAACCUGCCUCAUACAGGGGAAUAGCAGCUGGAAACGGCUGAUAAAACCGCAUAAGCGCACAGUGCCGCAUGGCACAGUGUGAAAAACUCCGGUGGUAUGAGAUGGACCCGCGUCUGAUUAGCUGGUUGGCGGGGUAACGGCCACCAAGGCGACGAUCAGUAGCCGGCCUGAGAGGGUGAUCGGCCACAUUGGGACUGGAGACACGGCCCAAACUCCUACGGAGGCA